This 468-nucleotide ribosomal RNA is filed under the name uncultured bacterium. RNAcentral's name for it is "partial 16S ribosomal RNA". It matches the Rfam family "Bacterial small subunit ribosomal RNA", at positions 28 to 507 of the family's 1533-position model. The record is from RNAcentral.
GACGAACGCUGGCGGCGUGCUUAACACAUGCAAGUCGAACGGAAAGGCCCUGCUUUUGUGGGGUGCUCGAGUGGCGAACGGGUGAGUAACACGUGAGUAACCUGCCCUUGACUUUGGGAUAACUUCAGGAAACUGGGGCUAAUACCGGAUAGGAGCUCCUGCUGCAUGGUGGGGGUUGGAAAGUUUCGGCGGUUGGGGAUGGACUCGCGGCUUAUCAGCUUGUUGGUGGGGUAGUGGCCUACCAAGGCCUUGACGGGUAGCCGGCCUGAGAGGGUGACCGGCCACAUUGGGACUGAGAUACGGCCCAGACUCCUACGGGAGGCAGCAGUGGGGAAUAUUGCACAAUGGGCGGAAGCCUGAUGCAGCAACGCCGCGUGCGGGAUGACGGCCUUCGUGUUGUAAACCGCUUUCGCCUGUGACGAAGCGUGAGUGACGGUAAUGGGUAAAGAAGCACCGGCUAACUACGUG